Molecule: ribosomal RNA, 972 nt
Filed under: Trichodina reticulata
Lineage: Eukaryota; Ciliophora; Oligohymenophorea; Mobilida; Trichodinidae
Description: eukaryotic LSU rRNA
Rfam family: Eukaryotic large subunit ribosomal RNA (bases 343-972)
Source: RNAcentral
CUGCGGAAGGAUCAUAACGAAUUAUUCUUCUCUGACUAUUGUUCUUGAGCCUAAAAAGGCAAAUUGUUAUACAAUGCCAUUUGACACAUCUUCAACGAUGGAUCUCUUGGCUCCCACCUCGAUGAAGAACGCAGCGAAAUGCGAUACGCAGUGCGAAUUGCAGAACCGCGAGUCAUCAGAUCUUCGAACGCAUCGGCGCCAAGAUAUCUUGGCAUGUUUAAUUCAGCGUGUCUAGUCAUCAAAUAAUAUGUGAUUGAGGUAUCUUUCACUGAGAAUGUAGUAUCGUUGAUAAUUCCAAAUGGUCACGAAAGUGAUGGAAUAAUCAAAAACGAUGUUAUAAAAAACACCUGAAUUAAGCAAGAUUACCCGCUGAACUUAAGCAUAUCAGUAAGCGGAGGAAAAGAAACUAACAAGGAUUGUCUCAGUAGCGGCGAGUGAAGAGACAUCAGCCCAAGAUGAGAAUCUGCGGUGAGAAACCGUGGAGUUGUAAUCUCGACAGUCAUUCGCGUUCAGACUCCCUGGCUAACUUGCUUGGAAGAGUAGGCCAUAGAAGGUGAGAGCCCUGUAGGCUAGGGAAGAGGAGUAAGCGAAUGUUUGGAAGAGUCGGGUUGUUUGGGAAUGCAGCCCUAAGUGGGAGAUAGACAUCUUCUAAGGCUAAAUACCGGUGGGAGACCGAUAGCGCACAAGUACUGCGAAGGAAAGAUGAAAAGAACUUUGAAAAGAGAGUUAAAAGAUGUGAAAUCGUUGAAGCGGAACUGAUCGCAGCCCGUCCAUGCCUUAGUCUCGUACAAUGCAACAAGUCCACCUACACUCAAAUGUAGAGACCAAAUGCAAAAGUACUGCUGAGGACAAUCACAGAAUCAACUUUGUAUUAGAGAGAAACAGCCUAACUGAGUUUUGUAGGAUUAUAAUCUAAUAUAGAGUUGAGGAUGAUUCUGUGAAAGCGACUGUGAUCGACCCGUCUUGAAACAC